This 253-nucleotide ribosomal RNA is filed under the name uncultured bacterium. Its description in RNAcentral is "partial 16S ribosomal RNA". It matches the Rfam family "Bacterial small subunit ribosomal RNA", at positions 524 to 776 of the family's 1533-position model. The record is from RNAcentral.
UACGGAGGGUGCAAGCGUUGUCCGGAUUUAUUGGGUUUAAAGGGUGCGUAGGCGGUUAAUUAAGUCAGAGGUGAAAGGGAACUGCUUAACGAUUAACUUGCCAUUGAUACUGAUUAACUUGAAAGGGGCUGAGGGUGGCGGAAUGUGAUAUGUAGCGGUGAAAUGCUUAGAUAUAUCGCAGAACACCGAUUGCGAAGGCAGCUGACUAAGCCUUCUUUGACGCUGAGGCACGAAAGCGUGGGGAGCGAACAGG